This 595-nucleotide unclassified non-coding RNA is filed under the name Dendronephthya gigantea. RNAcentral describes it as "uncharacterized LOC114521640, transcript variant X1". The record is from RNAcentral. Lineage: Eukaryota; Metazoa; Cnidaria; Anthozoa; Malacalcyonacea; Nephtheidae.
GUUCAAGGUUAAGACACAAAACCAUUAUUAUCGGAUCAUUACUCAAGUUUUGUUUUAUAAAAUGGUCGUGUCUCGAGGCGUCUCGCCGUUGUACAAAAGCAGAUCAACUUGCCAGGUUCACAAGAAAUAACCGAAGAGCUCGGUUUGCUCUGUUGUCACCUCCACUUUGCCUGAACAUAAACCCAAACAGAGAGAUGCAGAGAGUGUUAUUACGCCAAAAUCACAAGAUGGACGAAGAAGAGAAUUUUCAACUAUCAGGAGUGAAUGGGAAGCGAGCGUUACACGCUUUCGUUUGCCCGUCAGUUACGCCUGGAUUUUCUCCGCUACUCAGCAAGGAGCUCUCUACAGGUCAUGUUCAACAUCGCAUGGUGAACACGUAAUGGAUGUGAUAUUGUGACAUUACACUGAUGACAGCAUGUGGACAGAGUUGCAAAAAAGCUGCGGGUACGCGGGUACCACCCGGAGGAAGGUUUGCUUUGAAUGAGGUUUGUGAGGAAGGUUAAAAGUUGAGCACUCUCAUUGAUCACAUGCAUGUACCAAAAAAACAAAUAUUUGUUUAUGCUGGUUGCCACUUGACUCACGGCAUGACGUAACG